AUGACCACAUUUGAUUUUUUGGAAGACAAGCAAUGUACAGAAAAGACGAGGGUGGAGAGAACAGUUUCAGGGAGAUCAGUUAAGGGGUGGUUGCACUUUUCCAGUAUGAAAAAUUGCAGCCUGAGGGAAGUAGGUUCUGCUAAAAAUGCUGAUACUGGGGGCCAACGUGCAAUGAGGAAGAUGCCACCCAAGCACAUAGCUAAAAGAAGGUCACUCCCAGAAGAUGCCAUCCCCAAAAACAAGAAGGUGAAGGUCUCACACAGGUCCCACAGCACAAAACCAGGCUUGGUGCUAACACUGGGCCAAAGCGAUGUGGGCCAGCUGGGGCUGAGUGAGAAUAUGAUGGAGAGGAAGAAGCCGGCCCUGGUAUCCAUUCCAGAAAAUGUUGUGCAGGCUGAGGCUCGGGGCAUGCAUACCAAGUGUUUAAGCAAAAGUGGCCAGGUCUACUCCUUUGGCUGCAAUGAUGAGGGUGCCCUGGGAAAAGACAUGUCAGUGGAGGGCUCAGAAAUGGUCCCUGGGAAAGUGGAGCUGCAAAAGAAGGUGUCAGCAGGAGACAGUCACACAGUAGCCCUCACCCAGGAUGGCUGUGUCUUCCUCUGGGGCUCCUUAGAGGAUAAUAACAGUGUGAUUGGACUGUUGGAGCCCAUGAAGAAGAGAAUGGUGCCCGUACCCAUCCAGCUGGAUGUGCCUGUGGUGAAAGUGGCCUCAGGAAAUGACCACUUGGUGAUGCUGACAGCUGAUGGUGACCUCUACACCUUGGACUGUGGGAAACAGGGCCAGCUAGGCUGUGUGCCUGAGUUAUUUGCCAACUAUGGUGGCCGGCAAGGCCUUGAACGACUCCUGGUUCCCAAGUGUGUGAUGCUGAAAUCCAGGGGAAGCUGGGGCCAUGUGAGAUUUCAGGAUGCCUUCUGUGGUGCCUAUUUCACCUUUGCCAUCUCUUAAGAGGGCCACAUGUACGACUGGCCUCUCCAACUACCAUCAGCUUGGAACUCCAGGCACAGAAUCUUGUUUCAUACCCCAGAACCUAAUAUCCUUCAAGAAUUCCACCAAGUUCUGGGUGGGUUUCUCUGGUGACCAGCACCAUACAGUCUGCAGGGAUUCAGAAGGAAAAGCCUACAGCAUGGGCAGGGCUGAAUAUGGGCAGUGGGGCCUCGGGAGGAUGCUGAGGAGAAGAGCAUACCCACCCUCAUCUCCAGGCUGCCUGCUGUCUCCUCAGUGGCUUCUGGGGCCUCUGUGGGGUAUGCUGUGACCAAGGAUGGUCGUGUUUUGCCUGGGGCAUGGGCACCAACUACCAGCUGGGCACAGGGCAGGAUGAAGAUGCCUGGAGCCCUGUGGAGGAGACAGGCAAAAACAUGGAGAACUGUGUGGUCUUAUCUGUGUCCAGCAGGGGCAAGCAUACAGUCUUAUUAGUCAAGGAUGGGGAACAGAGCUGAUGCGCCCUCUGAGGGCCUGGCUUCUGGCCCACGUGAACUCCGUCAUCGCAGAACAGGGAAGCAGUGAGAGCUGCAGAUCGCAGCAGGCCUCUCCCCAGCCCUGAACACUGUGUCAGUUCCUGCCUUUUCCCAACAGGAGAACAGAAUUAUUUUCCUCUUCUCCUCUUUGGAAUUCUCCUGAGACCUACAGAAUGAAGUGGGAAGAUGGACAAGAGGUUUUUCAGAAGAAACACGGCUCACUCCAGAGCUACAUGGUUGGAUGUUUCCCACCCCCACCCCACCUUCCAUACUCCUGGUUGGCCCUGCUUUGCCUACUAGAAAACCAAAACCUCCUCCCCUGGGGUUUGCUGCCUACUCUCUGAGCAGCUGGGACUCCAUCAAGUCCCAUUCUAGUCAUGUGCCCCUUUCUCAUCCCUAACAAUCUACAAGCAAACAAAUGGUACAGUCAUAAGACUCAUCUGUCAUGGACUCAGGCCCAGAGGAACGUGCAGAAAAAGCAGAGCUGCGUGGCUGUGGGCAACUCUAAGCCAAAUAUUUGGCUUGGAACUGGUGUUCAUAGGACAAAAAAAAAUGACCAAGAAAAAAAUGGUUCUCCCAGAAGCACAAAGCAUGCUCUUGCCCCUCAGACACUGCUUGUGUACAUCCCACCCAUCCAUUCUGCUUCACUUGCAGCCAAGGGCCUGGAAUCGCAGAGAAGCCAGGCUGGGCAGAGCAGAGCAGGGCAUGGAGUGGGGAGAGAGGCUAGAGGGUUUUAUAAACAAACUUGCAGUAAUAUUGAAAGAGGAGGGAUUGAGGGAAAGACAGAGUGUUCGAGGUGCAGAGACUAGUCCCGAGAUGGAAACAGAAACUUGUACAGUGGCUGAGAAAAUAGAACAUAGUUUUUGAUUUUUAUAAUUGUAAAAUGUUUUGUAGGGGAGAAUGGAAUCUUUUAACACUUUUAAUAAAUUUAGAGUUUAAU
Non-coding RNA from Callithrix jacchus (white-tufted-ear marmoset), 2391 nucleotides. Lineage: Eukaryota; Metazoa; Chordata; Mammalia; Primates; Cebidae. The record is from RefSeq and is a predicted model, not a curated record.